Long non-coding RNA from Mauremys mutica (yellowpond turtle), 1481 nucleotides. RefSeq lists it as uncharacterized. The transcript is spliced from 3 exons. NCBI's taxonomy places the organism in Eukaryota, Metazoa, Chordata, Testudines, Geoemydidae. The record is from RefSeq and is a predicted model, not a curated record.
GGAGACAGCCCUUACCCUGAUGAUCUUACAAUGUAAAGAGUCAGGACAGACUAAGGAAGUAUUAUUAUCCCCAUUUGACAGAUGGGGAACUGAGGAAGUUGCCCAAGUUCAGACAGGCAAUCAGUGCAGAGCCAAGACUUGAAUGCAGGUUUCCAGUCCUGUGCCUUAAACAAUAGACCAUCCUUCCGCGUCAAUCCAAGCUCAUUUCAUAGUGCCAUGUGGUCCCCAAGAAAGCCUUCGGCAUUUGUUACCAUUUCAAAUACAAAGAUCUAGUGCAGGGCUUUGUUUUUAUCCAGGCAGCGGCGUCCAUCUAGCCCAAGGGGUGAGGCAUUAUAUUGCUUCAUGCUCAUUAGACAGCGCCCAGUUGUGAACGUGUGAGGAGGUGGAGGAUCAGAUAAAGCCUGGAAACGUGCCAUAUGUGGGACACGCUCAGGAAGCCCCUGGGAUCACUGGAAUUAAGCUUUAACAUAUUCUGAGCAAAUAUUGUCCUAGCCUGGUUCUGAGAAUUCUCUGUGUGCCUUUUCUUGUGGAAUCAGAGGCAUGGAGCGGGCACCCAGCCAGGUGCUCUGGCUCAAUACGCUGGGGCUUGGCAGCAGGCUCUUUUCAAGGAUUUGGACCUAUGGCUUUAGCACCCAGUAUCCUCUUCUGAAUUGGUCUCCAAAUGUAAUCCAUUCAUUUAAUAACAACAUGGCCUCUUCACAAGCUGCUGCCACUGCAAGGAAGACCUUGAAAGCCACGUUCCUGAAAAACAACACUUCUCAUAGGUGUUCCAGAUGGGAGCUGUUUGAAUAAGAACCACCACCUUCUCCCUGAAAAAGCUGUUUGUGUCUCUCUGCAGCUAUAGGCAAGCAGCCUGUUAAAGCAGCACCUGAAGGAUCCUCUGAGUGGCACAUCCUCCCUCUCUAAGAUCUAUUAUAUGGCUUGUGGAUAGGUUUGUUCUCAGGACAGAGGAGAAUUCCUUUGGGAAGUCUAAAUGAAAUCUGAUGUCAUGUCUGAAGCCUGGAAUUUAAAGCAAUCACCGUUUUGGCCAAGUCUUUGCCCACUUAUAGCACAAACAAGGUUGGUUUGUACAUGCUCAGAUGUGGUCUGCACAUAUUCCAUUAUGAGUACUAGUAUCUGAAGUGUGUUUGAGCAUAUUGGGUUGAGAAAUCCAGAAAGUGAAUAAUGUUUGACUCCCUUAGCCUUUUCAAGCUCUGUGAACUGAUCCUAGAAAAGAUGAGAAUCCCUGUCAGGCACCUGAGACCACUGGAACAAUCACAAGUACCUAGCGGAGAUUGUAAUCUAGUCCCGGCAGUCAAAAACAAAGUGCCAACACAGAAGCCUAGAGAAGCUAUUCCCUCGAUUUCUGCUUUAUGCUCAGUUGCUUGUCAGUCUCCUGGAAGGAUUGUAACAUGCUGCUAACAGCACUGGCUGCAUCAGUGAAAAAUUCAAUGUACUACGGAGAGGGUCAUUGGGGUAUUGCUGACACUAGGGCCUGCGUU